UUCGGGGAGUCCUAUACGAGGUGUUGCAUGGCUUGCGUCAGCUCGUGUCGUGAGAUGUUCGGUUAAGUCCGCUAACGAGCGCAACCCUCGUCGUAUGUUAUAUGUGUCAUACGAGACUGCCGGUAAAAGCCGGAGGAAGGUGAGGAUGAUGUCAAGUCAGCAUGACCUUUAUAUCCAGGGCUACACACACGCUACAAUGGUCUGUACAAUGGGUAGCCAAGCCGCGAGGCGGAGCCAAUCCUGAAAGCAGGCCUCAGUUCAGAUUGCAGUCUGCAACUCGACUGCAUGAAGCCGGAGUUGCUAGUAACCGCAGGUCAGCAAUACUGCGGUGAAUACGUUCCCGGGUCUU
RNAcentral lists this ribosomal RNA (349 nucleotides) under uncultured Anaerolineaceae bacterium. Its description in RNAcentral is "bacterial SSU rRNA". It matches the Rfam family "Bacterial small subunit ribosomal RNA", at positions 1018 to 1382 of the family's 1533-position model. The record is from RNAcentral. Lineage: Bacteria; Bacillati; Chloroflexota; Anaerolineae; Anaerolineales; Anaerolineaceae.